AGCGAAUGCUGGCGGCAGGCCUAACACAUGCAAGUCGAACGCACCUUCGGGUGAGUGGCGGACGGGUGAGUAACACGUGGGAACGUACCUUUUGGUUCGGAAUAACGCAGGGAAACUUGUGCUAAUACCGAAUGUGCCCUUCGGGGGAAAGAUUUAUCGCCAUUAGAGCGGCCCGCGUUAGAUUAGCUAGUUGGUGAGGU
RNAcentral lists this ribosomal RNA (200 nucleotides) under uncultured bacterium. RNAcentral's name for it is "partial 16S ribosomal RNA". It matches the Rfam family "Bacterial small subunit ribosomal RNA", at positions 29 to 258 of the family's 1533-position model. The record is from RNAcentral.